This 72-nucleotide transfer RNA is filed under the name Erinaceus europaeus (western European hedgehog). It matches the Rfam family "tRNA". From Rfam's summary of the family: Transfer RNA (tRNA) molecules are approximately 80 nucleotides in length. Their secondary structure includes four short double-helical elements and three loops (D, anti-codon, and T loops). Further hydrogen bonds mediate the characteristic L-shaped molecular structure. tRNAs have two regions of fundamental functional importance: the anti-codon, which is responsible for specific mRNA codon recognition, and the 3' end, to which the tRNAs corresponding amino acid is attached (by aminoacyl-tRNA synthetases). tRNAs cope with the degeneracy of the genetic code in two manners: having more than one tRNA (with a specific anti-codon) for a particular amino acid; and 'wobble' base-pairing, i.e. permitting non-standard base-pairing at the 3rd anti-codon position. The record is from Rfam by way of RNAcentral. Lineage: Eukaryota; Metazoa; Chordata; Mammalia; Eulipotyphla; Erinaceidae.
AGGGAGGUGGCUCAGUGGGUAGAGUGCACACCUUGCAUGUGUGAGGUCUUAGAUUCAUUUCCAGGUACCCUA